CCUACGGGUGGCAGCAGUGGGGAAUAUUGCGCAAUGGGCGAAAGCCUGACGCAGCGACGCCGCGUGAGGGAUGAAGGUCUUCGGAUCGUAAACCUCUGUCAGCAGGGAAGAACGGUCACUGUGCUAAUCAGCAGUGAAUUGACGGUACCUGCAAAGGAAGCACCGGCUAACUCCGUGCCAGCAGCCGCGGUAAUACGGAGGGUGCGAGCGUUAAUCGGAAUUACUGGGCGUAAAGCGCUCGUAGGCGGUAUGUCAAGUCAAGGGUGAAAGCCCCGGGCUCAACGUGGGAACUGCCUUUGAUACUGGCAAACUGGAGUGUGUGAGAGGAUAGUGGAAUUCCAGGUGUAGGAGUGAAAUCCGUAGAUAUCUGGAGGAACACCGAUGGCGAAGGCGACUAUCUGGCACAUAACUGACGCUGAUGAGCGAAAGCGUGGGUAGCAAACAGGAUUAGAUACCCCAGUAGUC
This 465-nucleotide ribosomal RNA is filed under the name uncultured bacterium. Its description in RNAcentral is "partial 16S ribosomal RNA". It matches the Rfam family "Bacterial small subunit ribosomal RNA", at positions 338 to 795 of the family's 1533-position model. The record is from RNAcentral.